UAGGAAAAUAAUGGGACUGCACUGCAUCCACCCGAAGAAGCCAUUGUCGGAAAGACACACCUUAAUUAAAAUGUGAAAAAAUAUAGGGCAUCUUAGAAUCUACUGCAGACGUUACUCAGAUUAUCUCACCUAAUACCGAUCACCGUGGGAGGUGGAUAGAUGGGUGUUCCCAUGUUCCCUAUUUAUUGAUUGAUUGAUUGAUUGAUUUUAGAGCUGAGAAAGCUGAGCCACAGAAAAGUUCAUUUACCUGCUUAAUGGUGCACACCUAUGAGAGAGAGAAGAGCAUUUCCUAAUCUCCCAGAGCUGACCAGAUACUGCCUGACCCGCUUUGGUGUGACUGCAAGGUGGCAGGGCUCCUGUCUGUGGAACAUAAACGUCGCACAGACCACUCUCUAACUGUGUUUAAAUGUAGCCAUAUAUGAACAUUGCACAGACCACCAAAGUGAUCAAAUGAUCCAACAUGCUCCUGUCCUGGCUACUAUGAGUGAUUCCUAUUUCUUUACUAAUUAUACCUUUAGCUUCUAUCUAGUCUUGCUCCAACUAGGUAAAAUUUGUUAAAAUGUCUAAUCUUAGAAUUACCCCCACUUCCUGUCAACACCCAAUCCAGAGGGAAACCCUCUUUUCUUAAACACCGCCCCCUAAUCAUAUAGCCUGAACUCAAAUUCGGAUAGCCUCUUACCCAGAUGCCCCUCAUUUCCUGGUGAUGCGCCUUCUUCCAGCAAGUAAUCAACCUCACUUGUUCCACUGUGGCUGUACUCCUGCUGGUUUUAGCUGGAGGACCUUGACAGUGAGUUAAAGGUCAUGAUUGGGACCCAGGAAGUCAAUGACUCCAGCCCCUCCCUGUGAGCCCCUCACCCCCUCCACUGUAUUAUUCUGGCACCUGAACUGAAGGAUUGCUCUAGAACUAGGCUGUACAUUAUUCACAUAACUACUGAGCAUUUGAAAUGUGACGAAUCCCAAAUGAGUUGUGCUAUAAAGUGCAAAAUUCAUACCUGAUUAAAAAAAAUAUUUUUGGUUAUAGGUGUACACAAUGG
RNAcentral lists this long non-coding RNA (1034 nucleotides) under Marmota monax (woodchuck). Lineage: Eukaryota; Metazoa; Chordata; Mammalia; Rodentia; Sciuridae. The record is from RNAcentral.